Molecule: long non-coding RNA, 1515 nt
Filed under: Cyanistes caeruleus (blue tit)
Lineage: Eukaryota; Metazoa; Chordata; Aves; Passeriformes; Paridae
Description: lncRNA (ENSCCEG00000003270.1)
Source: RNAcentral
AAAGGCUGAGCCUUGCCAUUCCUCUCAGUUGGCAUCAACAGGUUGGUCUCAGCAUUUUACUAAAUGCCAAAAAGAGAGAAAAUAUUGACAGGGCACUGUUUGCUGGGCAAAGCUCUCCUGAGGGAUUAUCCUGGCAGACAAGUUUGUUUCUUGCAGACAAAAGCAGUGCAACAGAUUCCUGUGUGAUCCUCCAGCCAAUCCAGGCAAAGAUCUUUGAAAGCUUCCAAAAAGGCAAAAGCAAGGCAGAGUUGGGAUGUGCAGCCCCUGAUUCUGUUAGUGGGCAAUAUGUGAGUAGAUCUAUUGAGUCCAGGGGAACCAGAGACACCCACACUGUGGACCCAGAGCAGUAAAUACUGGAAUAUCAGCCUCAGAGCCUGCACAAUCAGCAAGAUUAGAAAAACAAACCAAUGGAGUACUAUCUGCUGACCUUUGGUCUCAUUUCAAUUAAGCAACCUUCCAAGUGCAGGGGGCAAGCUCCUUUAUGAGCAGGAAGAUGAGCAGUGACAGGAAAGCCCAGGGAUGGAGCUGGAGUAAUGCUGGUGGAUCUGCCCUGUGUGUGUCAGCGUUUCUAGGUGAUUACUUGGAGCUAACAAAUAAUUAAGAUGGCUGUAAUUAAUACAGUGGGAUAACUGUGAGGUCAUAACUGCUCUGCCACAUCAGGUCACACCAAUCCAAAACCUUCAUUGCUUUAUAACCUUUACAGCUGAUGCUUCACUGCUUUGCUCAUCAUCUGUGGAAGGAGCAGCAUUUUAGGAGAGCUUGGAAGUACCUUCUGAAAUGCAAAAUGAACAUGAGACCACACCGGGGCUUUGUGGAACAGCUCUCAGCCUGGGAGACCCAAAUCUACGGGUGCCCAGUCACAGACGUCUCUGAACCAAAUUACUGACAGAGAACAUCCCAUGGGGAAAGCCACUUCCCUUCCCCUUUCUGGGGAGAAAGUUACUUGAACACUGUGUGAAAAAAAGACCCAAAUGCUAUGGAAAAGCUUUCCUCUUUAGCUCCAUGUCAUUUUGGGUCAGGAUUUGGAGCCUCCUGGGGAACUCACCUGUGCUGGAGGAGGUGGCAGUUUAGGGAAUGCAAGUCCUGCAGGACGUGGCCCAUUAGACACAGCUCGAGACUCUUUUGUAAGCAAAGAGGAUUAUAAAUACAGCUGUGGGGCAGUCAGUAGGGUUAUCUCUGUAAAGGUUUGUUAUCCAUGGUCUGGAAUAGUAAAUUUAAAGUCUCACAGUGCCCACUUCCAGCCUGGAGAGGUGACAACAGAAUUUCCCUGUUUCAGAAGUCCCUGUGCCCUGUGAGUGCCUUCUCAGCUACCCUGAACGGAUUGUUGACAAGUCCACCCUUCCCAUUUGCCACCUGCUAAUUCUACAACCCAACCUCAGCUGGUAAUUUUAAAGCCUCAGUGCUGUCACACGAAACCUAAACUCGGUACCGUCCUGUCUGUAAGAACAGCACUCGGGAUUCUGUUCUCUGACAUCAGGAAAUAAAACAUGACAGAAAACACCCCCUGGCUUUGCA